RNAcentral lists this ribosomal RNA (503 nucleotides) under uncultured bacterium. RNAcentral's name for it is "bacterial SSU rRNA". It matches the Rfam family "Bacterial small subunit ribosomal RNA", at positions 29 to 521 of the family's 1533-position model. The record is from RNAcentral.
AGUGAACGCUGGCGGCAGGCCUAAUACAUGCAAGUCGAACGGCAGCACAGCAGAGCUUGCUCUGUGGGUGGCGAGUGGCGGACGGGUGAGGAAUACGUGGGAAUCUGCCCAGUCGUGGGGGAUAACGUAGGGAAACUUACGCUAAUACCGCAUGCGCCCUUCGGGGGAAAGCCGGGGACCUUCGGGCCUGGCGCGAUUGGAUGAGCCCACGUCGGAUUAGCUAGUUGGCGGGGUAAAGGCCCACCAAGGCGACGAUCCGUAGCUGGUCUGAGAGGAUGAUCAGCCACACUGGAACUGAGACACGGUCCAGACUCCUACGGGAGGCAGCAGUAGGGAAUAUUGGACAAUGGGCGCAAGCCUGAUCCAGCCAUGCCGCGUGAGUGAAGAAGGCCCUCGGGUUGUAAAGCUCUUUGUCCGGAAAGAAAAGCGCCGGGUUAAUACCCUGGUGUCCUGACGGUACCGGAAGAAUAAGACACCGGCUAACUCGUGCCAGCAGCCGCGGU